This 253-nucleotide ribosomal RNA is filed under the name uncultured bacterium. Its description in RNAcentral is "partial 16S ribosomal RNA". It matches the Rfam family "Bacterial small subunit ribosomal RNA", at positions 524 to 776 of the family's 1533-position model. The record is from RNAcentral.
UACGUAGGCAGCGCGCGUUGUUCGGAGUUACUGGGCGUAAAGGGUGCGUAGGCGGUUUUCCAAGUUUGGUGUGAAAUCUCCCGGCUUAACUGGGAGGGUGCGCCGAAAACUAGGAGACUUGAGUACCGGAGAGGUAAGCGGAAUUCCUGGUGUAGCGGUGAAAUGCGUAGAGAUCAGGAGGAACACCUGUGGUGUAGACAGCUUACUGGACGGUCACUGACGCUGAGGCACGAAAGCGUGGGUAGCAAACAGG